RNAcentral lists this ribosomal RNA (460 nucleotides) under uncultured bacterium. RNAcentral describes it as "partial 16S ribosomal RNA". It matches the Rfam family "Bacterial small subunit ribosomal RNA", at positions 338 to 795 of the family's 1533-position model. The record is from RNAcentral.
CCUACGGGAGGCAGCAGUGAGGAAUAUUGGUCAAUGGCCGGAAGGCUGAACCAGCCAUGCCGCGUGAAGGUCAGUGCCCUAUGGGCGUUAAACUUCUUUUGUGCGGGAGCAAUAAUGGUCACGUGUGGCCAGACGAGAGUACCGUACGAAUAAGCAUCGGCUAACUCCGUGCCAGCAGCCGCGGUAAUACGGGGGAUGCAAGCGUUAUCCGGAUUUAUUGGGUUUAAAGGGUGCGUAGGCUGUGAGGUAAGUCAGCGGUGAAAUGCCCCCGCUCAAAGGGGUGAAGUGCCAUUGAUACUGCCUGGCUGGAAUGCGGAUGCGGUGGGAGGAAUGUGUGGUGUAGCGGUGAAAUGCAUAGAUAUCACACAGAACACCGAUUGCGAAGGCAUCUCACGAAUCUGCGAUUGACGCUGAGGCACGAAAGCGUGGGUAUCAAACAGGAUUAGAUACCCCUGUAGUC